This 2513-nucleotide long non-coding RNA is filed under the name Homo sapiens (human). RNAcentral's name for it is "HSALNT0391555". Lineage: Eukaryota; Metazoa; Chordata; Mammalia; Primates; Hominidae. The record is from RNAcentral.
GGCGCGGGUGCGCGGUGCGGCGCUGGUAUCCAGAGGACGCGGUCACCGCCUCUGGCAUUUGUCGUUCUGCGCUUCUCCGCAAGGACCCUCUGUUAGGCAGGCGCCCACCGUAAGCCUCCCGGGCCUUGUGAACCUGCAAACCCAAGUCUGAGAGACGAUCCGCCUUCAGCGCUUUCCAGCUUGGCAGAGAGGCUUUCCCGGCGGGGAUCUUUGGUUGGCGCUGGCGAUGCGCGGGGAAGAAAGGCGAGGAGCGGCGUCCAGGCUGGGUGAUGUCCCAGCACGAGUAGGCGGGAUGCGCUCGCUUGGUCCUCCGGGCGCCCGGUCCCUGCCCGCGUCGCGCGCCCACCCCUGGGGACGAGAAGGCGGCCGCCUGAGGACCCCCGCCCGCGACCUCCGCGAGUCUGGAGCGCAGAGGACAGGGUCUGGCUGCUCUUUGGCCUUGGAUGGAAAGUGGGGAAUUGGGUGGGGGGCUGCGGACCCCUUAACGUGGAUUACUUGGUGUGUAUCAGCUGGGCUCAGAAGACCCACGACCUCUUCUCCAUCCGUGGAUUGAUUUGUUCUGCUUAACAGCUGGGUCGCCAAGCUGGAGGUGGAAUCAGAGGUUUCUGGCUGACUCGGUGGGUGCUUUGAACCAGGAAAGGACAAGAAAGAGAAGAUCAGGUUCAAGUUGCCAGCCAGACUCUGGGCUUCCAGGAGGAGUGGGCUGUGGAUGGCCUGGCCUCAUUUGCAUGUCCCUCUCCUCCCGGCCCUGCAGGUGCCACCUCCUGAGUCCUGGUUCCUGCGGCUCCGUCGAAUCUGCAGUGAAGGCCUUUGGGAAGCGUGGGUUAUGUGGGUCCAGGGGUCCCAUCCUCCCGUGGAGGCCCUUGACCUGAGGAUCACUAACUCACACCCCACCGACUUCCGGCCCCCAACAAGGGCAGUGUUCCUCUUGCUCCAUUCUGCUCUGAAGUCCCCCAAACCGCUUCCUGGGGCUGCUUAGUGAAAUACAAGGCUCAUCUCUGAGGACCUCUACAGGGCUGGAUGGGAAGGACUGAUCCACAUUCCCACCAGGAAGUUUAGCAGAACCCCCGCGUGCCACCUGGACCCCUUGGAAGGACCUGGCUCAGGCUGGACCACCUCUUGAGAGGCAGGAGCUCUGGAUUUGAUCAAGAAUUCUUUGCUGAGCAUGGUGCCUCAUGCCUAUAAUCCCAACACUUUGGGAGGCCAGUGUGGGAGGAUCUCUUGAGCCCAGGAGUUCAAGACUAGCCUGGGCAACACAGAGAGACCCCAUCUCUAAAAUAAUAAUAAUAAUAAAAUAAAAAAUUAGCAGGGCAUGGUGGCAUGUGCCUGUAGUCCCAGCUACCCAGGAGGCUGAGGCAAGAGGAUGGCUGGAGCCUGGGAUGUUGAGGCUGCAAUGAACUGUGAUUACCCCACUGCACUCCAGCCUGGGCAAAAGAGCGAGAGACCCUGUCUCAAAUAAUAAUAAUAAUAAUAAUCUUAUUUUGGAGAAUAAAGAGACCUCUGGAUUUGAGGUGCCAUUUGGGUAGAAAGAAAAGACGUUUACACCGAGAAAUAGUCUGUGUUGCCCUGAAGGAGCAGAGGGAUGCAUCGCUGGAGGUGACCUACAGUUGAAGAAGACUCAUUAUGACAGACCUUGUCCUUCUUCCUUGUGGAAAGUGUUUCCUCUGCUGCUACUGCUCAUGAGACUCUUCCCCCUCCCUGUCCCAGGGAACCAAAGGGCUUUCUACCACACCCUUUCUUGCCCCCCGCCUCCCAUGUCUGCUGUGCCUUUGUACUCAGCAAUUCUUGUUUGCUCCAUUAUCUUCCAGCCGGAUACAGAGUGAAUAGUUAACCACACUUAGGUCAAAUAGGAUCUAAAUUUUUGUUCCUGCUCCGUGUAAAGAGGCCAGUGUUUGUGUGUUGCAAGCAGCCUUGGAAUAGUAACUCUUCUCAUUUGUUUGGGAUCUGGCCACCAAGUUCCAGAAUGAUACACGGAUCAGUGCAGAAGUUCAUCAGGCUCUCGGACCUUAGGGCUGUUGGAGAAGGCUUCAGCAGCAGAACUGAUGGUGAAGGCUCGUGUUCUCCAUCCUCAACUUUCUUUGCUUCGAUCAUACACAAGAAUACAUUUGGAAGGGCAAAAAAUGAACACUGUCGUUCAUUGCAGCCGUGUUUUGUGACACAGAUGCACAGUCUGCUGUGAAGACCUUCUCUCAAGUGGCAUUUGGGAGUCCAUGCCAGAUCAUGGUGCUUCAUGAGAGACUGACAGCUAUCAGGGGUUGUGGCACUUAGUGAGGACUCUCCUCCCCCAGUGUGUGCUGAUGACACAUACACACCUGACAAUAGCUUGAGUCUUCUCUGUUCCUUUUACUCUGUAGCCAACAUACACAUGAUUUAAAACCCUUUCUAAAUAUCUAUCAUGGUUCAUCCUUGUCCAAAUGCAGAGUCAGAGCUAUUUGUACUUCAUUAUUAUUUCCAAGGCGAAUAGUUGGCUUUCUUUUUGCAAAAAUAAUUAAAGUUUUUGUAUGUUGCAGUUG